AAGAUCGCACCAUUGCACUCCAGCCUGGUUAACAAAAGCAAAACUCUGUCUCAAAAAAAGAAAAAAAGAGAAAGGGUGGAAAAGAGGGAUUCCAGAGUGCCAGGCACACAGAUUUUCUGGAAGGUUUACAUGAGGACUGCUGUGGUUUGAAUGUGUUCCCCAAAGUUCAUGUGUUGGAAACUCAACCCCUAAUGCAACAGUGUUGAUCAGUGGAACCUUUAAGAGGUGAUUAGGUCAUGAAGGCUCUGCCCUCAUGAAUGGAUGAAGGUAGGGUGGGUUAGUUAUCUUGGGAGGGGGUUCCUGAUAAAAGGAUGAGGUUGGCUUCCUCCCUUUCUGUCUUUCCCCUUCUCCCUCUCACAUGUGGUCACUCUCUUGCCCUUUUACCUUCCAGCAUAGGACAACACAGCGAGACCUUCACCAGAUGCAGGCCCCUCACUUUCCCAGUGUUCAGAACCAUAAACCAAGUGAACCCUUAUAAAUCACCCAGUCUGUGGUAUUCUGUUAUAGCAACACAAACAGACUAAGACAGGGACACUCAGUGAGCUCUUCUCUCUACUUGAUGGAGCACUCCCUGCGUGGUGCCUUGUAUUUGUAGACAUGAUGCUGUAAAUGCUCUUUGAGUGUCUCGAAGGCUUUUAUGUUUGAGGAGUUUACAGAGAAGCCCGUACAGGGUUCAGGUCCAUUCUGUUGCUUCUUUGCUCCUUAGUUCCUCCCCUAAUCUGAUGUUAAAUUAGAUCAUAGUGUGGUCCUUGGACCAAUAGUAUCAGUAGCACCUGAAAAUCAUGCUGGAAAUACAGAUUCACAGGCUGCUCCCCAGAAUACUGAAGAAGAAACUCUAGGAGUGAGACCCAACAAUCUGUGUUUAACAAGUCCCCAGGCCCCUGGAUCCUCCUGGAAUCCCUGAUCCCUGUUGCUCCCUUGCGGAGUUUUCUAGUCCCUCUUAUUUGAAGCAUGUCUUUCAGAGCCUCGCACCACCCAGCUUGGGUAUCUGGUGAAUUCUGUGGUCUGCAUGUCCAUGUUUUUGACAUUCUGGGAAGGGUGGCCCAGGCUGUGAUUUGCCAUCUACUGCUGCAGGCUAUGGAUGGUAUUCAGAAGGGAGGGGAGAUGCUGUGUGCGUGUUCUGAAGGGUUUCCCACUAAAUGGAGAGACUGACUCUCUCCAUAAGUAUUUGAUUUUUACUUUAUCUCCUCGUUGACUUCACAGUGUAAGUGCAGUUUGUCUCUACUGGGUGAUGCAUGCAGAUAAAUGUUUAUGUGAACAUAAGAAGUCUGCAUGUGUGGGUGAACUCUCCACAUCAUGUCAUUUAUUGUCCAUCAUUACGUAUCUGUGGUGUCUAGCACAUUCCUCUACCUUAUUUUCUGUCAUUGUACCUACUUCUACCUGAACACGUAUUAAAUAUCUUAUUAAAAAUACACAAAUAUUAUGUUUCCUCAGUGGUUUUUUCCCCCUCACAUUGGGCCCUCCUCUUCAGUGGACUACAGUGUGGUACCUGCAGGUCUCAGGCCUUCUGGGAGGUUCCAGCUUUUCCUGGAUGCUCUCUCUCUCUGGCCAGCUCAGGCUGGAGCAGUGGGUGUUGGUGCCAUCCUGUGGCUAUAGGUGAUAAACCAGGUUGUGUUUUGACCCCUAGUCUUGAAUCCUGGAGUUCUCACAUGCGUGGAUUUAAAUGCUGUGUCUUUCUAAGGGCAGAUUGUGCCCAUUUUCCUUCUCUGCCUCUCAAGGGACUGUUUGCUGUGUUUAUUGACUUACCAUUAAAAAAAAUCAUAUACAUUGAUGAAUUAGAUUGUACUCCAUAAAUUAUAUAUGUUUGAAAAAUAAAGAAUAUUUUUUCAA
RNAcentral lists this long non-coding RNA (1830 nucleotides) under Homo sapiens (human). Its description in RNAcentral is "HSALNT0397830". The record is from RNAcentral. Lineage: Eukaryota; Metazoa; Chordata; Mammalia; Primates; Hominidae.